AUCCAGCUGACGAGUCCCAAAAAGGAUGAAACGCGCGUCCUGAAU
Molecule: non-coding RNA, 45 nt
Filed under: Schistosoma haematobium
Lineage: Eukaryota; Metazoa; Platyhelminthes; Trematoda; Strigeidida; Schistosomatidae
Source: RNAcentral